GUUGGCAAUGGGACCACCUGCAAAUUCUGGAGCGACCACUAGAUCGACGGUAGAUCAGUGGUAGAGAUCGCCCCCCUCGUGCACUCGCUCGUUCCUCGCCGCCGACAAAAAUCAUGCACUCUGAGGGAUGCUCUCCACCUCAGAUCUUGGGUGCAAGGCAUCAUGGGUGCACUGGGACCCACUGCCUUGAUCCAGUACGUCGAGCUAUGGAGGCGUGUACGACACAUUGUGCUUUCGCCCACCCACGACACCCUCAGUUGGAGAUGGACGACCUCCGGACAAUACUCUGCCAGCUCAUGCUACCGGGCCCUACUCAUUGGGUCCUGCGAAGAUCCCCACUGGAAGCUCACAUGGAAGCCAUGGGCACCAUUGCGUGUCAAGUUUUUGUUGGGGAACGCAGUAUUUUAA
This 408-nucleotide ribosomal RNA is filed under the name Triticum aestivum (bread wheat). RNAcentral describes it as "partial small subunit ribosomal RNA". The record is from RNAcentral. Lineage: Eukaryota; Viridiplantae; Streptophyta; Magnoliopsida; Poales; Poaceae.